This 497-nucleotide ribosomal RNA is filed under the name uncultured bacterium. RNAcentral describes it as "partial 16S ribosomal RNA". It matches the Rfam family "Bacterial small subunit ribosomal RNA", at positions 28 to 507 of the family's 1533-position model. The record is from RNAcentral.
GAUGAACGCUAGCGACAGGCUUAACACAUGCAAGUCGAGGGGAAACGGCAUUUAGUGCUUGCACUCUUUGGACGUCGACCGGCGUACGGGGGAGUAACGCGUAUCCAACCUUCCCAUUACUGUGGGAUAACCUGCCGAAAGGCAGACUAAUACCGCAUAUUCUUCGAUGACGGCAUCAGAUUUGAAGUAAAGAGUUAUCGGUAAUGGAUGGGGAGGCGUCUGAUUAGCUUGUUGGCGGGGUAACGGCCCACCAAGGCUACGAUCAGUAGGGGAUGUGAGAGGAGGGGCAGCUACCCUGGGACUGAGCCACGGCCCAGUCCCCUACGGGAGGCGGCAGUGGGGAAUGUUAUACUAUGCGCUAAAGCCUGGUCUAACCACGCCGCGUGGGGUACAGAGGGCCGCCGCUAUGAGAUGUAAUCUGCUUGUGUAUAAAGAGACUGUUAGGAACGUGUCCCUAUUUGACGGUACCAUACGAAUAAGCACCGGCUAACUACGUG